GAGUUUGAUCAUGGCUCAAAUUGAACGCUGGCGGCAUGCCUUACACAUGCAAGUCGAACGGCAGCACGGGAGCAAUCCUGGUGGCGAGUGGCGAACGGGUGAGUAAUACAUCGGAACGUGCCCAAUUGUGGGGGAUAACCCGGCGAAAGUCGGACUAAUACCGCAUAAGACCUGAGGGUGAAAGCGGGGGAUCUUUCGGGACCUCGCGCUCAAGGGGCGGCCGAUGGCAGAUUAGGUAGUUGGUGGGGUAAAGGCCUACCAAGCCGACGAUCUGUAGCUGGUCUGAGAGGACGACCAGCCACACUGGGACUGAGACACGGCCCAGACUCCUACGGGAGGCAGCAGUGGGGAAUUUUGGACAAUGGGGGCAACCCUGAUCCAGCAAUGCCGCGUGUGUGAAGAAGGCCUUCGGGUUGUAAAGCACUUUUGUCCGGAAAGAAAACUUCCUGGUUAAUACCUGGGGAGGCUGACGGUACCGGAAGAAUAAGCACCGGCUAACUACGUGCCAGCAGCCGCGGUAAUACGUAGGGUGCGAGCGUUAAUCGGAAUUACUGGGCGUAAAGCGUGCGCAGGCGGUGAUGUAAGACCGAUGUGAAAUCCCCGGGCUUAACCUGGGAACUGCAUUGGUGACUGCAUCGCUCGAGUAUGGCAGAGGGGGGUAGAAUUCCACGUGUAGCAGUGAAAUGCGUAGAGAUGUGGAGGAAUACCGAUGGCGAAGGCAGCCCCCUGGGUCAAUACUGACGCUCAUGCACGAAAGCGUGGGGAGCAAACAGGAUUAGAUACCCUGGUAGUCCACGCCCUAAACGAUGUCAACUGGUUGUCGGGCCUUCAUUGGCUUGGUAACGAAGCUAACGCGUGAAGUUGACCAAUCACUA
RNAcentral lists this ribosomal RNA (875 nucleotides) under uncultured Burkholderia sp. RNAcentral describes it as "bacterial SSU rRNA". It matches the Rfam family "Bacterial small subunit ribosomal RNA", at positions 9 to 873 of the family's 1533-position model. The record is from RNAcentral. Lineage: Bacteria; Pseudomonadati; Pseudomonadota; Betaproteobacteria; Burkholderiales; Burkholderiaceae.